GACGAACGCUGGCGGCGUGCCUAAUACAUGCAAGUUGAGCGCUGAAGGUUGGUACUUGUACCAACUGGAUGAGCAGCGAACGGGUGAGUAACGCGUGGGGAAUCUGCCUUUGAGCGGGGGACAACAUUUGGAAACGAAUGCUAAUACCGCAUAAAAACUUUAAACACAAGUUUUAAGUUUGAAAGAUGCAAUUGCAUCACUCAAAGAUGAUCCCGCGUUGUAUUAGCUAGUUGGUGAGGUAAAGGCUCACCAAGGCGAUGAUACAUAGCCGACCUGAGAGGGUGGACCGGCACAAUGGGACUGGGACACCGCCCAAGCUCCUAAGGGAGGCAGCAGGAGGGGAACUUCGGCAAUGGGCGAAAGGCUGACCGAACAACGCCGGGUGGCUGAAGGAAGGUUUCGGAUCGUAAAACUCUGUUGGGAGGGAAGGACGUUGGUGAGGGUGGAAAGCUCCGCAAGUGACGGUAACUGCACAGUAAGAAACGGCUAACUACGUG
RNAcentral lists this ribosomal RNA (497 nucleotides) under uncultured bacterium. RNAcentral describes it as "partial 16S ribosomal RNA". It matches the Rfam family "Bacterial small subunit ribosomal RNA", at positions 28 to 507 of the family's 1533-position model. The record is from RNAcentral.